GACCCUGGCUCAGGAUGAACGCUAGCUACAGGCUUAACACAUGCAAGUCGAGGGGCAUCAGUUUGGUUUGCUUGCAAACCAAAGCUGGCGACCGGCGCACGGGUGAGUAACACGUAUCCAACCUGCCUCAUACUCGGGGAUAGCCUUUCGAAAGAAAGAUUAAUAUCCGAUAGCAUAUAUUUCCCGCAUGGGUUUUAUAUUAAAGAAAUUCGGUAUGAGAUGGGGAUGCGUUCCAUUAGUUUGUUGGG
Molecule: ribosomal RNA, 248 nt
Filed under: uncultured bacterium
Lineage: Bacteria
Description: partial 16S ribosomal RNA
Rfam family: Bacterial small subunit ribosomal RNA
Source: RNAcentral